CAGUAGCCGCGGGAAUACGUAGGUGGCAAGCGUUAUCCGGAAUUAUUGGGCGUAAAGCGCGCGUAGGCGGUUUCUUAAGUCUGAUGUGAAAGCCCACGGCUCAACCGUGGAGGGUCAUUGGAAACUGGGAAACUUGAGUGCAGAAGAGGAAAGUGGAAUUCCAUGUGUAGCGGUGAAAUGCGCAGAGAUAUGGAGGAACACCAGUGGCGAAGGCGACUUUCUGGUCUGUAACUGACGCUGAUGUGCGAAAGCGUGGGGAUCAAACAGGAUUAGAUACCCCAGUAGUCCCUGUCUCUUAUAC
This 301-nucleotide ribosomal RNA is filed under the name uncultured bacterium. RNAcentral's name for it is "partial 16S ribosomal RNA". It matches the Rfam family "Bacterial small subunit ribosomal RNA", at positions 509 to 807 of the family's 1533-position model. The record is from RNAcentral.